GACGAACGCUGGCGGCGUGCUUAACACAUGCAAGUCGAACGGAGCGAAUGAAAGCUUGCUUUUAUGAGCUUAGUGGCAAACGGGUGAGUAACACGUAGACAACCUGCCGACAGGAUGGGGACAACAUUCCGAAAGGAAUGCUAAUACCGAAUGAAGCGGAGGAGAGGCAUCUCUCCUCCGUGAAAGAUGGCCUCUGAAUAUGCUAUCACCUGUCGAUGGGUCUGCGUCUGAUUAGCUGGUUGGUGAGGUAACGGCUCACCAAGGCGACGAUCAGUAGCCGGUCUGAGAGGAUGAACGGCCACAUUGGGACUGAGACACGGCCCAGACUCCUACGGGAGGCAGCAGUGGGGAAUCUUCCGCAAUGGGCGCAAGCCUGACGGAGCAACGCCGCGUGAGUGAAGAAGGUCUUCGGAUCGUAAAGCUCUGUUGAUGGGGACGAACGUACGGAGUGCGAAUAGUGCUCUGUAAUGACGGUACCUAUCGAGGAAGCCACGGCUA
RNAcentral lists this ribosomal RNA (498 nucleotides) under Selenomonas sp. oral taxon 138. RNAcentral's name for it is "bacterial SSU rRNA". It matches the Rfam family "Bacterial small subunit ribosomal RNA", at positions 28 to 499 of the family's 1533-position model. Lineage: Bacteria; Bacillati; Bacillota; Negativicutes; Selenomonadales; Selenomonadaceae. The record is from RNAcentral.